RNAcentral lists this ribosomal RNA (1010 nucleotides) under uncultured organism. RNAcentral's name for it is "bacterial SSU rRNA". It matches the Rfam family "Bacterial small subunit ribosomal RNA", at positions 410 to 1419 of the family's 1533-position model. The record is from RNAcentral.
GACUGUCCUAUGGAUUGUAAACUUCUUUUGUGGCAGAAUAAACUACCGUACUUGUACGGUAUUGCAUGUAUGCCAUGAAUAAGCAUCGGCUAACUCCGGGCCAGCAACCCGCGGCAAUACGGGAGGAUGCAGGCGUUAUCCGGAUUUAUUAGGUUUAAAGGUGUUUCAGGCUGCCUGGUAAGUCAGGGGUGAAAGUCGGUUGCUCAACGAUCGAAUUGCCUUUGAAACUGUCAGGCUCGAGUAUGGAUGCGGUAGGCGGAAUGUGUAGUGUAGCGGUGAAAUGCAUUGAUAUUACACAGAACACCGAUUGCGAAGGCAGCUUACCAAACCAGCACUGACGCUGAAGCACGAAAGCGUGGGGAGCGAACAGGAUUAGAUACCCUGGUAGUCCACGCCGUAAACUUUGCCCACUCGCUGUUGGCGAUAGACAGUCAGCGGCCAAGGGAAACCGAUAAGUGAGCCACCUGGGGAGUACGGCCGCAAGGUUGAAACUCAGAGGAAUUGACGGGGGCCCGCACAAGCGGUGGAACAUGUGGUUUAAUUCGAUGAUACGCGAGGAACCUUACCUGGGCUUAAAUGUGAAGUGCAUUGAUUGGAAACAAUCAUUUCCUUCGGGACCCUUUACAAGGUGCUGCAUGGUUGUCGUCAGCUCGUGCCGUGAGGUGUCGGGUUAAGUCCCAUAACGAGCGCAACCCCUAUUGUUAGUUACCAGCGCGUAAUGGCGGGGACUCUAGCGAAACUGCCGGUGUAAACCGCGAGGAAGGUGGGGAUGACGUCAAAUCAGCACGGCCCUUAUGUCCAGGGCUACACACGUGUUACAAUGGCCGGUACAGCGGGCAGCUAGGCAGCGAUGUCAUGCUAAUCCCGAAAGCCGGUCCCAGUUCGGAUUGGAGUCUGCAACCCGACUCCAUGAAGGUGGAAUCGCUAGUAAUCGCGCAUCAGCCAUGGCGCGGUGAAUACGUUCCCGGGCAUUGUACACACCGCCCGUCAAGCCAUGGAAGUCUGGGGUG